Molecule: long non-coding RNA, 444 nt
Filed under: Mus musculus (house mouse)
Lineage: Eukaryota; Metazoa; Chordata; Mammalia; Rodentia; Muridae
Description: predicted gene, 32139 (Gm32139)
Source: RNAcentral
GAGUUUGCGGCGCGCGCGGCUUAGGGGAGCAUGUGUGUGAGAGAGGUUGGGAGGGGAACCUGCAGAAUGAAAACCCCUGGGGGCUUAGGCCGGCUCCGGCCGGGGUCAGGGCACUCCAAGGCAGGAAUUCCAUCUGCGGAUCGCGUGCAUCUGGUACCACGGUUGGGAAGACUGAGCCCCCCACCCCACCCCAUGCACAGCGGCGGGCUGCAGAGACCUGCAGUACAGACACAAAGCAAAGGCGGGUCACGAAUGCGCAGACGCCAAGCAUCCUUAUCGAGACCAGACUGCAGUGGCUGGGUGAGGGGCCUGGUAGUCAUCUGACUGCCAAUUAAUACCGUGGCGACGACUCGACUGAAUAAUCGCCGCCCUUGGACAGGGUGUUUAAACUUAGCUAUACUGACUAAUCGCUCUCUAAUAAACCACUAAAAGUUACACUUUGAA